Molecule: long non-coding RNA, 1168 nt
Filed under: Olea europaea subsp. europaea
Lineage: Eukaryota; Viridiplantae; Streptophyta; Magnoliopsida; Lamiales; Oleaceae
Source: RNAcentral
GACAAAGAGUCUCUAUAACAGUCUCAUACCUCAGGGGAGUCUCAAAAAUUAUCUCUUCUAUUUUACAUAGACUUGAGUUGACGUGGAAAAUAGUGACUGAGAAUAUUGAGUAUGAACCAGAACUACCCAUUUAUAUAUAGUUUGGGCUCUGCACAUCUUGGGCUGAGACUGCAAAUCUUGAAAACCAAAAGGCUUGAUUAGAAUAGAAAUCAAGCUUUGGAGGUGAUCAAAAAAGGAUACGUGGCAGUGACGGUAGCGAAGAUGACGAUGAAAGAAUGGAUAGAGAGAAAGGAGUGAGUUCUAUUUCUGAUUAUUGCUUGUAUAAUACUAUGAUUGAAGCACCAAACUAAUUCAAAGCCCAAAUAACCCCGAUAGCAGCUGAUAUCAGCAGUAACAAACUGGCUUGCAUACUGAUAUUCUCCUAACAACUUCUUAUGUCAUGCUAACAUAUUUCCAAAUAUUUACCAGACACAAAUUUGGAGUCAGACAAACAAAGGCUAUUGUUAGAUUAUAUGGAAAAUGAAAAAUUAGUUGACACUUAAAUGAUGUGUGAAAAGUUAUAAUGGUUUGUGGAAUAGGAUCGGUUGAGAAAACUAUAUAUACUUGGUAAGCAUGAUUUACUGGGAAAGGAAACAAGCUCAGUCCAUUUAUCUCCCUCUUUUCAUGCAACGAACUGAAGGUCAAAAGUGGGAAUAAUUUGAACCAUGGAUACUGUUUAUCAGCAACCCCUUGUAAGGAUUUGCCCUCAUCAUCUACCGCUAAAAUGAAAGCAAUCCUUUCACAAGAAAAGUUUAGCUAAGUUAGUGUAUCUGGUCAUGCAAAAGAGGUUUGAGGUUGAUUUUCAGUUACUUUUCAGAUAAUCCUUGUGUAUAAGCUUUGACUCCGUUUCUCUGAACUCUUGAACAUUGCAAUGCUUUGUGUUUUCUACCCUAAUAUUUUAAUAUAUUGUAAUAUAAGUAAGUUGUGUGCAUACUCAUGUAAGUUAUUUAGGCUAUUACAUAAUCUAUAAAGUUGAAAAUUUUAUGGGUAACAUUUUCACUUAAUUUAUCAAAGUUGAAUAAUUAAUAUCAUAUGUGGAAUUACUUUGAACUUGAUCCCAAUGCUGAUUAUAGAUGAUAUUUGUGUUUUCAAUUAUGCACAUUUGCAUUAAACAUGAGCUUGGUUUGGA